RNAcentral lists this unclassified non-coding RNA (367 nucleotides) under Hevea brasiliensis (rubber tree). The record is from RNAcentral. Lineage: Eukaryota; Viridiplantae; Streptophyta; Magnoliopsida; Malpighiales; Euphorbiaceae.
GAUUUUCUAUACCCACUGGUCUGCAAAAUCUUCAGAGCCACUCAUUGAACCAUAACUGGAGCUAUUGGGUCCAUCUUUGUAACUGGCAAGUUGGUAUCCUUUUCCCAUGUGUUCACAACUAUUCUCAAACCAUGCUAACAAAACUGAGGAAUGAAAUAACUGAAAGAUAAAUAUACAGGUGACACAUCGGGCUGACAGGUCUCUGAAAGGUCUGCCAACAGUUUAGGUUGUUUGGGUCCAUUGAAAUCACUUGUCCAUAAGAGCUAAAGCCCAAGUCCAUUUAAUUGUAAGAAUGAAAUGAGAUUAGAAGUUGGGCCUUAGCUAUUAGGCAAAGUCCACUUAUUUAUGGAUUUUAUAUGCCAAAUCA